AUUGAACGCUGGCGGCAUGCUUAACACAUGCAAGUCACGGGGGGCCCGCAAGGGUCAACCGGCGAACGGGUGCGUAACACGUGAGCGACCUGCCCAAUUGCGGGGGAUAGCCGGCCCAACGGCCGGGUAAUACCGCAUACGCUUCCCUGGGGGCAUUCUUGGGGAAGGAAACCUACGGGGCGAUUGGAGGGGCUCGCGGCCUAUCAGCUAGUUGGCGAGGUAACGGCUCACCAAGGCGAUGACGGGUAGCUGGUCUGAGAGGAUGGCCAGCCACAUUGGGACUGAGAGACGGCCCAGACUCCUACGGGAGGCAGCAGUGGGGAAUCUUGCGCAAUGGCCGAAAGGCUGACGCAGCGACGCCGCGUGGAGGAUGACGCCUCGUCGUA
RNAcentral lists this ribosomal RNA (386 nucleotides) under uncultured bacterium. RNAcentral's name for it is "bacterial SSU rRNA". It matches the Rfam family "Bacterial small subunit ribosomal RNA", at positions 28 to 427 of the family's 1533-position model. The record is from RNAcentral.